Molecule: long non-coding RNA, 888 nt
Filed under: Fukomys damarensis (Damara mole-rat)
Lineage: Eukaryota; Metazoa; Chordata; Mammalia; Rodentia; Bathyergidae
Description: lncRNA (ENSFDAG00000023484.1)
Source: RNAcentral
UCCUUCUCUUCCUCCUUCUCCUCCUUCUUUUCCUCUUCGCCUUCACCUUCUCCUUCUCCUUCCUCCUCUGUCUCCUUCCUCUGCCUCCUCCUCUUCCUCCUCCUCUCCCCUCCUCCUCCUGCUGCUGCUGCUUGGAGAACCGCUAGAAUCUCAGAGGUUUGUGAAGUGUCUGACACAGCAGUUCUUCAAUCGGGUUUGCUAAAAAGUGAAUGGAUUAGACUUACUGAGUUCAGCUGAGACUUUCUGAACAUCAGUAGCAGAGCUUAGUGAUAUCCUUUAUGAUGACACAUGGCUUUUAUGAGUUUCUUGUUACACUUUUUUUUUCUACUUAGUGUUGUAUGAACUCAAAGCGUCGUUGAGGGUUCUCCUACUGGCUGGCCCAGUUCUUCUUCCUGAGUGGGCUCCAGGACCUUUCUAAAAUCAUUAAUCUACUGCUAUUUGUGUUUCAAGCUUUGAGGAGUAGCGCAGAGCUGCUGUGAAGAGCCACUUCUUUGUCUUUUUAGUCUGCACGCACUUCUGCAGCAGGCGCUGCCUGCCUUGGGCCCUUCCAGUGGUGAGGCGAGGUAAUACUGCUGCCCUGGACUAGCAUGCUCUCCUGCUCUGGGGAUGUCUGUGCUGAGUGAGCCGCUGUCUCCUCUAGGUUUGCGGGACUCUCGGGGCAGAGGGAAGUGUGACAGAAAUGACUGCCUUCAAACUGGGAGGUGCCCCACUGACCGAAGACUGCCUCGGCCCCGUCCAGUUGGUGAGCGGAGCAGGGCCGACUUCCACUGCGGGGGACGGCUUGCAGGCAGCUGCAGUCCCCAACGCCCCCAUUCCUGCCCCGUACCAAGCUGCUGUGCACAUAGGGCUCUAAGUUACAAGUAAAAAGCACAAGUAAGAAAGGAGGGA